AUUAAAACGUGGUAGGGAGGGUGGGUAACUCCUUAAGGAACAAUGAUUCUCCUUCGGUUUCUGCCUCACCUUUGACAUUUGCCUAUCGCUCUCCCCGUUCAUAGUUUCUCCGGCUUCCCCCCACCCUUAGCUUUUAGGAGAUCCUGUUCUCUGCCUCACCUUUGACAUUUGCCUCCUUUAGCAGAUAAAGAAACUGCAAUGCCUUUGUUUCGCACCCGGUCGGAAUCUUUUCGCUUAGUGCUGAUGGUACUGUUCCAAGUUCUCGUGGCCAUGGUGUUUGUUUCAGCCGAUAGAAGCCUCCGACUUGAGUCUAUGGGACUCGGUGGGAUGGAAAAACCGGAGAGCAAUUACUUUCUCCGAGCAGUGGAUUACUUAUGGAAGCUGAAUCAAUCUAGUUAUCAGCAUGUCUGGCCGGAGAUGAGUUUUGGGUGGCGGAUCGUCGUCGGUACUGUGAUUGGAAUCUUUGGAGCGGCUUUCGGGAGUGUUGGUGGCGUUGGCGGUGGCGGCAUCUUUGUUCCCAUGCUCAGCUUGGUCAUCGGGUUCGACCCUAAAUCAUCAACCGCCAUAUCAAAGUGCAUGAUCAUGGGCGCGGCGAUCUCGACUGUCGUGUACAACCUCAAGCUGAGGCAUCCUACCCUUGACAUUCCUCUAAUUGACUACGAUCUAGUGUUGCUCAUCCAGCCGAUGCUUAUGCUCGGCAUUAGCAUAGGUGUUGUAUUCAACCUCAUAUUCGCCGACUGGAUGGUUACGAUCUUGAUCAUUCUCUUGUCAUUGGGCACCUCAACCAAAGCAUUCUUCAAAGCCUUAGAAACCUGGAGGAGGGAAACCGUUUUGAAAGAGGAGGCAGCUAAACGUUUGGAGUCGAGCGCUGAAGACGAUAGCAAUGCCCAACUGGAACAAAGGCUUCUUCCCCAACCGGCGAGCAGCACCAAGAAGACGCAGGUCUCGCUACUUGAGAACAUUCGCUGGAAGGAGGUUGCGCUUAUUACUUUUGUUUGGGUCGCGUAUCUCAUUCUGCAAAUUUCCAUGAACCAAACAGCAACCUGUUCAACAGCAUACUGGGUUUUGAACUUUUUACAGGUGCCAGUUUCAAUUGGCGUGUUUGCAUACGAGGCGAUCAGCUUGUACAAGGGAUGGAGGUGAUUGCAUCGAAGGGAGAAAGGGUAAGAGGUGGCAAGUGCGCGAGCUCUUGGCAUAUUGCGGCUGUGGCGUUUUGGCUGGAAUAAUUGGCGGACUGCUAGGAAUCGGUGGAGGAUUUGUCAUGGGUCCUCUAUUUCUGGAGCUCGGCAUCCCUCCUGAGGUCUCGAGCGCCACUGCCACAUUCGGAAUGACCUACUCCUCGUCCAUGUCUGUGGUCGAGUACUAUCUGCUGAAACGUUUUCCGGUUCCCUACGCCUUGUACUUCAUUCUCGUGGCAACUGUUGCUGCCUUUGUCGGGCAACACAUCGUGAGGAAGCUGAUAAUCAUAACCGGAAGGGCGUCGAUCAUCAUCUUCAUCCUGUCCUUCACGAUAUUCGUCAGUGCCAUCUUGCUAGGCGGCGUCGGAUUAUCCAACAUGAUCGGAAAGAUCGAGCGCCAUGAAUACAUGGGAUUCGACAACCUGUGCAACUUCGGCGAAUAGUCUGGCUUGCCUUUUCUGGGAAAUAUGUGUUUGUGUGUAUGGUAUUUGCUAAGCUAGGAAGUAUGAAUUGUUUCAUUUUGAGAUCAGCUUUCUGAACACAUGCAGGAUUUCUCUUCUCUAUAUAUUAGAAUUGAGAUGCUUGGAAGAAAACUUCGGUAGUCCUUUACCUCUUAAUGAAAGAUUCGAGGGUACCCAUUACUAUUA
Molecule: RNA transcript, 1825 nt
Organism: Eucalyptus grandis
Lineage: Eukaryota; Viridiplantae; Streptophyta; Magnoliopsida; Myrtales; Myrtaceae
Gene name: sulfite exporter TauE/SafE family protein 3
Exons: 12
Source: RefSeq, a predicted model, not a curated record